CCUACGGGAGGCAGCAGUGAGGAAUAUUGGUCAAUGGCCGGAAGGCUGAACCAGCCAUGCCGCGUGAAGGUCAGUGCCCUAUGGGCGUUAAACUUCUUUUGUGCGGGAGCAAUAAUGGUCACGUGUGGCCAGACGAGAGUACCGUACGAAUAAGCAUCGGCUAACUCCGUGCCAGCAGCCGCGGUAAUGCGGGGGAUGCAAGCGUUAUCCGGAUUUAUUGGGUUUAAAGGGUGCGUAGGCUGGGAGGUAAGUCAGCGGUGAAAUGCCCCCGCUCAACGGGGUGAAGUGCCAUUGAUACUGCCUGGCUGGAAUGCGGAUGCCGUGGGAGGAAUGUGUGGUGUAGCGGUGAAAUGCAUAGAUAUCACACAGAACACCGAUUGCGAAGGCAUCUCACGAAUCCGCGAUUGACGCUGAGGCACGAAAGCGUGGGUAUCAAACAGGAUUAGAUACCCUUGUAGUC
This 460-nucleotide ribosomal RNA is filed under the name uncultured bacterium. RNAcentral describes it as "partial 16S ribosomal RNA". It matches the Rfam family "Bacterial small subunit ribosomal RNA", at positions 338 to 795 of the family's 1533-position model. The record is from RNAcentral.